Molecule: small nucleolar RNA, 207 nt
Filed under: Candida maltosa Xu316
Lineage: Eukaryota; Fungi; Ascomycota; Pichiomycetes; Serinales; Debaryomycetaceae
Source: RNAcentral
ACGCCUUGUGCCUCGCUCGGUUUAACCUUUCAUGGUUAGAUCUUGAGCUGGAUAUUUCUUGAAUUAUUUUUACAAUAUUCAAGAAGUAAUGGGCAAUAGAAAUCUCUUUUAUUCUAUGAAAGGGAAAAAGAUUUCCUUUGAGUGCGAUGACACCAAGGUUUCUAUUGAGACUGGAUGGUGGCAUUGUAAUUAUAAAUCUUUACAUUU